ACCCUCGUAGCUCAACGGUCAGAGCAGCGUCCUUCUGAGACGCGGGCUACGGGUUCGAGUCCCGUCGAGGGUA
This 73-nucleotide transfer RNA is filed under the name Mobiluncus curtisii. RNAcentral describes it as "tRNA-Arg". It matches the Rfam family "tRNA". Rfam says of the family: Transfer RNA (tRNA) molecules are approximately 80 nucleotides in length. Their secondary structure includes four short double-helical elements and three loops (D, anti-codon, and T loops). Lineage: Bacteria; Bacillati; Actinomycetota; Actinomycetes; Actinomycetales; Actinomycetaceae. The record is from RNAcentral.